GCCCGGGUGGCGGAAUUGGUAGACGCUACGGUCUCAAACACCGUUGAUAGCAAUAUCGUGUGGGUUCGAGUCCCACCCCGGGUA
RNAcentral lists this transfer RNA (84 nucleotides) under Bacteroidota bacterium. RNAcentral's name for it is "Bacteroidetes bacterium (activated sludge metagenome) tRNA-Leu". It matches the Rfam family "tRNA". Rfam says of the family: Transfer RNA (tRNA) molecules are approximately 80 nucleotides in length. Their secondary structure includes four short double-helical elements and three loops (D, anti-codon, and T loops). The record is from RNAcentral. RNAcentral also lists the same sequence under 1 other name. Lineage: Bacteria; Pseudomonadati; Bacteroidota.